UAGGGUGACCAACCAUCCUGGUUUGCCUGGGACAGAGAGGGUUUCUGAGAUGCAGGAAUUUCAGUCCAGACAAACUG
Molecule: microRNA precursor, 77 nt
Filed under: Tursiops truncatus (common bottlenose dolphin)
Lineage: Eukaryota; Metazoa; Chordata; Mammalia; Artiodactyla; Delphinidae
Description: miRNA (ENSTTRG00000024319.1)
Source: RNAcentral